GGUCAAGUGAAGAAGCGCAUACGGUGGAUGCCUUGGCAGUCAGAGGCGAUGAAAGACGUGGUAGCCUGCGAAAAGCUUCGGGGAGUCGGCAAACAGACUUUGAUCCGGAGAUGUCUGAAUGGGGGAACCCAGCCAUCAUAAGAUGGUUAUCUUGUACUGAAUACAUAGGUGCAAGAGGCGAACCAGGGGAACUGAAACAUCUAAGUACCCUGAGGAAAAGAAAUCAACCGAGAUUCCCUUAGUAGUGGCGAGCGAACGGGGACUAGCCCUUAAGUGGCUUUGAGAUUAGCGGAACGCUCUGGAAAGUGCGGCCAUAGUGGGUGAUAGCCCUGUACGCGAAAAUCUCUUAGUCAUGAAAUCGAGUAGGACGGAGCACGAGAAACUUUGUCUGAAUAUGGGGGGACCAUCCUCCAAGGCUAAAUACUACUGACUGACCGAUAGUGAACUAGUACCGUGAGGGAAAGGCGAAAAGAACCCCGGAGAGGGGAGUGAAAUAGAUCCUGAAACCGUAUGCGUACAAGCAGUGGGAGCCCACUUUGUUGGGUGACUGCGUACCUUUUGUAUAAUGGGUCAGCGACUUAUUUUCAGUGGCGAGCUUAACCGAAUAGGGGAGGCGUAGCGAAAGCGAGUCUUAAUAGGGCGUCUAGUCGCUGGGAAUAGACCCGAAACCGGGCGAUCUAUCCAUGGGCAGGUUGAAGGUUGGGUAACACUAACUGGAGGACCGAACCGACUACCGUUGAAAAGUUAGCGGAUGACCUGUGGAUCGGAGUGAAAGGCUAAUCAAGCUCGGAGAUAGCUGGUUCUCCUCGAAAGCUAUUUAGGUAGCGCCUCAUGUAUCACUGUAGGGGGUAGAGCACUGUUUCGGCUAGGGGGUCAUCCCGACUUACCAAACCGAUGCAAACUCCGAAUACCUACAAGUGCCGAGCAUGGGAGACACACGGCGGGUGCUAACGUCCGUCGUGAAAAGGGAAACAACCCAGACCGUCAGCUAAGGUCCCAAAGUUAUGGUUAAGUGGGAAACGAUGUGGGAAGGCUUAGACAGCUAGGAGGUUGGCUUAGAAGCAGCCACCCUUUAAAGAAAGCGUAAUAGCUCACUAGUCGAGUCGGCCUGCGCGGAAGAUGUAACGGGGCUCAAACCAUACACCGAAGCUACGGGUAUCACGUAAGUGAUGCGGUAGAGGAGCGUUCUGUAAGCCUGUGAAGGUGAGUUGAGAAGCUUGCUGGAGGUAUCAGAAGUGCGAAUGCUGACAUGAGUAACGACAAUGGGUGUGAAAAACACCCACGCCGAAAGACCAAGGUUUCCUGCGCAACGUUAAUCGACGCAGGGUUAGUCGGUCCCUAAGGCGAGGCUGAAAAGCGUAGUCGAUGGAAAACAGGUUAAUAUUCCUGUACUUCUGGUUAUUGCGAUGGAGGGACGGAGAAGGCUAGGCCAGCUUGGCGUUGGUUGUCCAAGUUUAAGGUGGUAGGCUGGAAUCUUAGGUAAAUCCGGGAUUCUAAGGCCGAGAGCUGAUGACGAGUUAUCUUUUAGAUAACGAAGUGGUUGAUGCCAUGCUUCCAAGAAAAGCUUCUAAGCUUCAGGUAACCAGGAACCGUACCCCAAACCGACACAGGUGGUUGGGUAGAGAAUACCAAGGCGCUUGAGAGAACUCGGGUGAA
RNAcentral lists this ribosomal RNA (1656 nucleotides) under Pseudomonas haemolytica. RNAcentral describes it as "partial 23S ribosomal RNA". It matches the Rfam family "Bacterial large subunit ribosomal RNA", at positions 1 to 1708 of the family's 2925-position model. Lineage: Bacteria; Pseudomonadati; Pseudomonadota; Gammaproteobacteria; Pseudomonadales; Pseudomonadaceae. The record is from RNAcentral.